Molecule: ribosomal RNA, 497 nt
Filed under: uncultured bacterium
Lineage: Bacteria
Description: partial 16S ribosomal RNA
Rfam family: Bacterial small subunit ribosomal RNA
Source: RNAcentral
GAUGAACGCUGGCGGCGUGCCUAAUACAUGCGAGUCGAGCGAACAGACGAGGAGCUUGCUCCUCUGACGUUAGCGGCGGACGGGUGAGUAACACGUGGAUAACCUCCCUAUAAUACUGGGAUCACUUCGGGAAACCGGAGCUAAUACCGGAUAAUAUAUUGAACCGCAUGGUUCAAUAGUGAAAGUCGGUUUUUCUGUCACUUCUAGCUGCAUCUGCGCCGCAUUAGCUAGUUGGUAAGGUAACGGCUUACCAAGGCAACGAUGCGUAGCCGACGUGAGAGGGUGGUCGGCCACACUGGAACUGAGACACGGUCCAGACGCCUGCGGGAGGCAGCAGUAGGGAAUCUUCCGCAAUGGGCGAAAGCCUGACGGAGCAACGCCGCGUGAGUGAUGAAGGUCUUCGGAUCGUAAAACUCUGUUAUUAGGGAAGAACAAAUGUGUAAGUAACUAUGCACGUCUUGACGGUACCUAAUCAGAAAGCCACGGCUAACUACGUG